Molecule: ribosomal RNA, 446 nt
Filed under: uncultured bacterium
Lineage: Bacteria
Description: partial 16S ribosomal RNA
Rfam family: Bacterial small subunit ribosomal RNA
Source: RNAcentral
CCUACGGGAGGCAGCAGUCGAGAAUCAUUCACAAUGGGGGAAACCCUGAUGGUGCGACGCCGCGUGGGGGAAUGAAGGUCUUCGGAUUGUAAACCCCUGUCAUGUGGGAGCAAAUUAAGAAGAUAGUACCACAAGAGGAAGAGACGGCUAACUCUGUGACAGCAGCCGCGGUAAUACAGAGGGCGCAAGCGUUGUUCGGAAUCACUGGGCGUAAAGCGUGCGUAGGCUGUUUCGAAAGGCGAGUGUGAAAGCCGCGGGCUCAACCCGCGGACGGCACAUGAUACUGCGAGACUAGAGUAAUGGAGGGGUAAGCGGAAUUCUCGGUGUAGCAGUGAAAUGCGUAGAGAUCGAGAGGAACACUCGUGGCGAAGGCGGGUUCCUGGACAUUAACUGACGCUGAGGCACGAAGGCCAGGGGAGCGAAAGGGAUUAGAUACCCUUGUAGUC